AGAGUUUGAUCAUGGCUCAGAACGUACGCUGGCGGCACGCCUAACACAUGCAAGUCGAACGAAGUAGCAAUACUUAGUGGCAGACGGGUGAGUAACAUGUAGGUAUCUACCCUUUGGCCUGGAAUAACACGAGGAAACUUGUGCUAAUACCGGAUAAGUCUUUACGGAGAAAGCUUUAUGCACCAUUGGAUGAGCCUGCACUUGAUUAGUUUGUUGGUGGGGUAAUGGCCUACCAAGACUGUGAUCAAUAGCUGAUUUGAGAGGAUGAUCAGCCACAUUGGGACUGAGACACGGCCCAAACUCCUACGGGAGGCAGCAGUGGGGAAUCUUGCACAAUGGAGGAAACUCUGAUGCAGCGAUGCCGCGUGAGUGAAGAAGGCCCUUGGGUUGUAAAGCUCUUUCGUCGGGGAAGAAAAUGACUGUACCCGAAUAAGAAGGUCCGGCUAACUUCGUGCCAGCAGCCGCGGUAAUACGAAGGGACCUAGCGUAGUUCGGAAUUACUGGGCUUAAAGAGUUCGUAGGUGGUUGAAAAAGUUAGUGGUGAAAUCCCAGAGCUUAACUCUGGAACUGCCAUUAAAACUUUUCAGCUAGAGUAUGAUAGAGGAAAGCAGAAUUUCUAGUGUAGAGGUGAAAUUCGUAGAUAUUAGAAAGAAUACCAAUUGCGAAGGCAGCUUUCUGGAUCAUUACUGACACUGAGGAACSAAAGCAUGGGUAGCGAAGAGGAUUAGAUACCCUCGUAGUCCAUGCCGUAAACGAUGUGUGUUAGACGUUGGAAAUUUAUUUUCAGUGUCGCAGGGAAACCGAUAAACACACCGCCUGGGGAGUACGACCGCAAGGUUAAAACUCAAAUGAAUUGACGGGGACCCGCACAAGUAGUGGAGCAUGUGGUUUAAUUCGAAGAUACGCGCAGAACCUUACCAACACUUGACAUGUUCGUCGCGACUCUAAGAGAUUAGAGUUUUCGGUUCGGCCGGACGAAACACAGGUGCUGCAUGGCUGUCGUCAGCUCGUGUCGUGAGAUGUUGGGUUAAGUCCCGCAACGAGCGCAACCCUCACUUUUAGUUGCCAUCAUUAAGUUGGGCACUCUGAAAGAACUGCCAGUGAUAAGCUGGAGGAAGGUGGGGAUGACGUCAAGUCCUCAUGGCCCUUACGUGUUGGGCUACACACGUGCUACAAUGGUAUCUACAACAGGAAGCAAGACUGCGAAGUUAAGCAAAUCCCUAAAAGAUACCUCAGUUCGGAUUGCACUCUGCAACUCGAGUGCAUGAAGCUGGAAUUACUAGUAAUCGUGGAUCAGCGUGCCACGGUGAAUGCGUUCCCGGGUCUUGUACACACCGCCCGUCACACCAUGGGAGUUGGUUCUACCUUAAGGCAAGGUUUCAAACCCUUGACCACGGUAUAGUCAGCGACUGGGGUGAAGUCGUAACAAGGUA
Molecule: ribosomal RNA, 1433 nt
Filed under: uncultured Alphaproteobacteria bacterium
Lineage: Bacteria; Pseudomonadati; Pseudomonadota; Alphaproteobacteria
Description: uncultured alpha proteobacterium 16S ribosomal RNA
Rfam family: Bacterial small subunit ribosomal RNA
Source: RNAcentral